AGCCAUGCGAGUCGAGAGGGUUCGGCCCUCGGCAGACGGCUCAGUAACACGUGGAUAACCUGCCCUCAGGUAGGGGAUAAUCUCGGGAAACUGAGGAUAAUACCCUAUAGACAUCCUUUGCUGGAAUGCCUGGAUGUUCAAAGGCGACGCCUGAGGAUGGGUCUGCGGCCUAUCAGGUUGUAGUGGGUGUAACGGACCCACUAGCCCACGACGGGUACGGGCCUUGGAAGAGGUAGCCCGGAGAUGGACUCUGAGACACGAGUCCAGGCCCUACGGGGCGCAGCAGGCGCGAAAACUUCGCAAUGCGGGAAACCGUGACGAGGGAAUCCCGAGUGCUCAUACAAUGUAUGGGCUUUUCUGAUGUGUAAAUAACUUUAGGAAUAAGGGCUGGGUAAGACCGGUGCCAGCCGCCGCGGUAAUACCGGCAGCUCUAGUGGUAGCCACUUUUAUUGGGCCUAAAGCGUCCGUAGCCGGUCAGGUAAAUCCUUGGGUAAAUCGUACAGCUUAACUGUACGGCUUCCGGGGAGACUGCUUGACUUGGGACCGGGAGAGGUUGGAGGUACUCCUGGGGUAGGGGUGAAAUCCUGUAAUCCUAGGUGGACCACCGGUGGCGAAGGCGUCCAACCAGAACGGCUCCGACGGUGAGGGACGAAGGCUAGGGGCGCAAACCGGAUUAGAUACCCGGGUAGUCCUAGCUGUAAACGCUG
This 707-nucleotide ribosomal RNA is filed under the name uncultured archaeon. RNAcentral describes it as "bacterial SSU rRNA". It matches the Rfam family "Archaeal small subunit ribosomal RNA", at positions 47 to 762 of the family's 1478-position model. The record is from RNAcentral.